This is a long non-coding RNA of Cynoglossus semilaevis (tongue sole), 2819 nucleotides long. RefSeq lists it as uncharacterized. The transcript is spliced from 5 exons. The record is from RefSeq and is a predicted model, not a curated record. NCBI's taxonomy places the organism in Eukaryota, Metazoa, Chordata, Actinopteri, Pleuronectiformes, Cynoglossidae.
CAUUUUAUUAAUCUAUUUUAAUAAUCAGAGUAAUGUAUGCAGAAUAUUACCAGAACUUUGUUUAUAAUAACAAUAUUAUUAUAAUCAGUUGAUAUCAAAAUCAAAAAUCGGUGUUUGGACAAUAUCGGCAAAAAGUUAAUAUUUGACUUUUCCAUCAUAGUUAUGAAUGCUGAUUUAUCUCAAUUAAUCAAGAUCAGCUACCCUGUGAUUAACCACUGACCUAAGAUUGUAAUUUUAUGACCACCCUACUGAUAACAAUGUAUCUGUCUGCAGGUUCAUGUUGACUCUCGUCCAACCCUCCUCUGAAAGACGUCCACAGUUAUUGAUGUUCGCUUGGUGUGAAGUGUUCGUGUUCUUGGUCUGCUGAGUGGAGCUCCCACUGUUCCAGAGUCAGGUGAACUGGAUACUCUCGGAGCUGCAGUGAAGAUGGACUGGUCUUCCGCUGAGGGUGUUGUCCUGCUCUUUGCCCUUUGCAUGCUGGGAAUGGCUCCAAACCCCUGUUAAUAAUGAGCUAAGCUGGAAUUCUCCCUCCACGUUCUGACAAAUGUUUUCUUUUCAUUUUCAUCAUCCUCUUCUUUUACGUUACCUCGCUGCUGUCUUUGUGCAGUCCUUAACGAUCAUGUUGUUGUUGUUUGUUUUCUUUUUUGGUGCCAGGAAUGAGAGAACGUGUGAAAAGGUAACAGUAAACCAAGAAUGCACAUCAAAGAUGUCUUCCGCAGCCGAACGAGCCACAGUUCUUGGCUCCACUGCUCAUGUCUGGCUCACAUCCCGUUCCCAUAAUUUGUGACAGGAUAUGGACAUAGUGCUGGCAGUUCAUCACAGAGCCACGAGAAGCAACAAGCUGCAACAGUCUGAGCCACAGUCCUGCUGCUCAUCACUGGGAUUCAGCCAAUCACCUGUGCCUCCACCGAUACUGACUCCGCCCCAUCGGUCUUCUCCAGUUGAACCUCCACGCCCAGCUCAAAGUAACCUGUAAUACGUGGUGGAACAAAAGGUAUGAUCCCAUUGUAGCAACGUGGACAGGCAACAUGUGUAGACAACGUGGAUGGGCUCACGGACGUGUGAGCUCCAUCUCCAUAAACCCGUCGGAGAACCACCGUUCUCCCACAGACUGGCCUGGAUGAACCUACUCCUACAGUAGGAGACUGUGUUUGAUUGACUGGCUGUAGUAACUGCAGAUACUUUUCUCUCUCUGUCUCUCCCUCCCUUCUCUCAUGUUUUUUUUCCCAUUGUCUUAUUGAUUUAAUUUCAGCAACUCCUUCAGAAAAGUCUAGACAUUUCUUUUCCGUUCCCUCUCACCAGUAGAAACAUCGGCAGAAUUAGGUUCAUUGUUUACACUAAAGUGACCAUUGGUGUGAGUGUGAAUGUGACAUGACCGUGUGAUGGACUGGAGGACUGUCCAGGGUGUGACGUCCUCACCUGAUGACUACACCUUCCUCCGACUCUCCACCUCCGUCAGGUUUGAACAUAAUUAAAGGAAUGAAAACAGUUUGAAAGUUCCUGACCCGAAGUCUCGUCUCCAUUCUCCUGAGGUCACCGUGGCUCCAGCCACUGCAGCACCAUCUGCCCCCGACCAGACCCUUCUCCUACAGAAUACAUCAAACGCACGCAGCCUGGAUGGACAUGUCCAGGAUCCAGUAACAGGACAGAACAGUCUGGGCGGAGCCUCGUCCCCCCCUUUCCAAUAUUAACUCCUUGUCCAUCCAUCAACAGUCAGCACCAACUGGGUGGGCCGCUCGCAUCCAUCACCUAUUUGAGGAAUGGGUUAGUCUUUGGAAGGCAAAAAAGAACCAGUAUGUUUUUUGGGUAUGGAUGCCAACACUCCAGAGAUUUUCACCAGGUUUGGCUGUGGCUCAGUGGACCAGCAAGACGGAGACGAGAGAGACGGGGACGAGGACAGAAGAUGUCGGGACAUGAGCUCAGCAAAUCCUGAAGAUUUCACUGGAUUCUUCUUUUUUAGGUGAGUUAAAAAAAUAACCUUUUUCUUAUCAGCUCAACAGUUUUGACCUGAUUUGGCUUUAAUAUAAUCAUUUAAUAUUUUUUUUGUCAAUACGAGAAUUAGCUUGGCUUCAUUCAUAAAAUAAAAUAAAAUCAAAUAAAAAAUAAAAUUAUAUUAAACCACAACUACUCCCACACACUUGGCAUUUUGUCUGAAUUUUAUUAAAAUGAAUGGAAAAAAUUGUAAUUGUAAAUUGUAAUUUUUCCAAUAUUCUUUAAAACCUAAAACUCAAAAAAAAAAGAAAUGUUUAGGGUUUUUUUUUUCCCCUAAAGUUAACGGUGGAUGAAUACAUUAAAGGGCAGUUACAGAUGUAUUUUUAUACAAUCAGACAUAGACGCUCACCAGGCUGUCGUCGAGGCCACUGACCUGCGUGUUCCAGCCAACGACGUGCUGUUCAGGCAAACGGAGCAGCAGCAGUGAUUGGACAAAACCAACAGAGACCGACAGAGUCAGCUGACCUUAAACACAUCAACCACCUUCUUGCAACACCUUAUUUUGGAGCUGUUGGUGGGACCUUGUAUCGGGGGAUGGGGGAGUUUAGGGGGGAGCUUAUCUCUCCUGUUGUUAUUUGUCCUGAGCCUCUCCAUGUGUCUGUGGUGAGGACUUCCUGAUUAGAACUGACAGAACUGACUCUUAUCUGUGAAACCAAGUCCUUUAGAUCCUUGUACAAACACAGCAGCUGAUGAGACGACGCUUCCUCAGAGAUAGUGAGAGCAGCAGCAGCGCUGAUGUUCUCAGUGCAUCACUUUCAGGUAUAGCCACAUCCCGGUAAUAGAAAAUUCAAAUUAAAACGUCAACUUUUUUUUUUUUUUUUUUUUAA